RNAcentral lists this ribosomal RNA (337 nucleotides) under uncultured Pseudomonadota bacterium. Its description in RNAcentral is "bacterial SSU rRNA". It matches the Rfam family "Bacterial small subunit ribosomal RNA", at positions 28 to 351 of the family's 1533-position model. Lineage: Bacteria; Pseudomonadati; Pseudomonadota. The record is from RNAcentral.
GACGAACGCUGGCGGCGUGCCUUACACAUGCAAGUCGAGCGAGAAAGCCCGCAAGGGUGAGUAAAGCGGCGCACGGGUGAGUAACACGUGGGUAAUCUGCCUUGAAGCUCGGGAUAACUCUCCGAAAGGGGUGCUAAUACCGGAUAAGACCACGGGAGCUUCGGCUCCUGAGGGAAAAGGUGGCCUCUGCAUGCAAGCCAUCACUUCGAGAUGAGCCCGCGGCCCAUCAGCUAGUUGGCGGGGUAACGGCCCACCAAGGCUACGACGGGUAGCUGGUCUGAGAGGAUGAUCAGCCACACUGGAACUGAGACACGGUCCAGACUCCUACGGGUGGCUG